CAGUAGCCGCGGUAAUACAGAGGGUGCGAGCGUUAAUCGGAUUUACUGGGCGUAAAGCGUGCGUAGGCGGCUUCUUAAGUCGGAUGUGAAAUCCCUGAGCUUAACUUAGGAAUUGCAUUCGAUACUGGGAAGCUAGAGUAUGGGAGAGGAUGGUAGAAUUCCAGGUGUAGCGGUGAAAUGCGUAGAGAUCUGGAGUAAUACCGAUGGCGAAGGCAGCCAUCUGGCCUAAUACUGACGCUGAGGUACGAAAGCAUGGGGAGCAAACAGGAUUAGAUACCCCCGUAGUCCCUGUCUCUUAUAC
RNAcentral lists this ribosomal RNA (301 nucleotides) under uncultured bacterium. Its description in RNAcentral is "partial 16S ribosomal RNA". It matches the Rfam family "Bacterial small subunit ribosomal RNA", at positions 509 to 807 of the family's 1533-position model. The record is from RNAcentral.